Molecule: ribosomal RNA, 2244 nt
Filed under: Triticum aestivum (bread wheat)
Lineage: Eukaryota; Viridiplantae; Streptophyta; Magnoliopsida; Poales; Poaceae
Description: partial small subunit ribosomal RNA
Source: RNAcentral
AUGAACACCAAGACGUACAAUCGCAUUUGGACGUGCCUUCAGCUGGGGAAGACGAGCGGUCGGAAGAGAGUGAGCGAUGCCGGUCUCGUGGAUGCCAUCUGGAGAUACAGCGCCUCGAAGGCAGUGGAAAACGACUCCGGGUCCCAGUCAUCUCAUCGGUCAGCUGCCGCCGCCGACCUUGGGCUCGACAGGUUCAGGCUUAACGAGUCGCAGCUGAACGCAGUAGAGGACUCCGUUGCAGCAAUGGGGAGCCCUUCUCCUUCCCUGAAGCUGAUAUGGGGGCCUCCAGGGACCGGCAAAACCAAGACCAUCAGCACCAUACUCUGGGCGAUGCUGCUCAGGGGGCACCGGACGCUUACUUGUGCUCCGACCAACACCGCGGUGCUGGAGGUCGCGUCUCGAGUUGUCCAGCUUGUCCGGGAGUUCUCGAAUGGCGGCAGCGGCGGCUGCUUCCUCAGUGACAUCGUUCUGCUGGGAAACAAUGAGAAGAUGAAGGUAGAUGCCAGCCACGAGCUCUCUGCGGUGUUCCUUGACUGUCGUGUCGAGCGGCUUUCCCAAUGCUUCUCGCCAAAUGGAGGCUGGGCGCACUGCUUGCGUUCGCUGAUGGGUUUUCUUGUGGAGCCUGUGAGCAAAUACCAGCUGUACACCGACAAAAUUACCAAGGACCGUGAGGAGGAGGAGGAGAAGAAGAGGAACAUCUCAUCAAAUGUACUAGAUAAGAAGAACAAAAAUGUUGCAAGAUGCAAUAAAGGGAAUGGCCAUGAAAAGGAUAGAUGCAAUAAUGAAGGAGACGUGCAAGUGUUUAUUACCCUGUCAUUCAAGGAUUUUGUGAGAGCCACUCACAAGGAACUCGCUCACAACUUGUGCCACUGCAUCGAGACAUUGCAGAAUGAUUUCCCAAGGGACCCUACGCCGGCGCCGAAUUUCUGGUGCAUGUCCGAUGUGGUAGAAGCAACAAGAGUUCUCGGUGCGCUGCUAGACGCCGGUGCCGGCGACAGACACGAGGCAUGGGUGAGCGAUGUCGGCGAUGCCUGCAACCCGUGCUCUGUGAGCAGCGAUCCUCCAUGCGAGGAAUGCAGAUUCAGGAAAGCGAGGUCACUCUGUCUCGAACAACUGGAGUAUCUGCGCAACAAUCUGAAGCUCCCCGGCUACUACGACAAGCGACCGAUUGAAACCUACCUGCUGAAGAGAGCCAAGAGUAUCCUGUGCACUGUUUCCACUUCUUUCAGGCUGUAUAACGUACUGCCCACGGAUAACCACAAACCUGUUGGCGGGCAAGGACAACAGCAACGCAAAGAACCUGAGAUCUUCCCACCUCUGGAGCUGUUGGUCGUCGACGAGGCCGCGCAGCUCAAGGAGUGCGAGGCCAUGAUCCCGCUGCAGCUGCCUUGUAUAAGGCAUGCUGUUUUCAUCGGGGAUGAGCGCCAGCUACCUGCUCUCGUCAAGAGCAAAAUAUCCGAGAAUGCGGAUUUCGGAAGAAGCAUCUUCGAGAGGCUGAUCUCGCUAGGCUGCCGCAAGCACCUCCUCGACACCCAGUACAGGAUGCAUCCGGAGAUAAGCAGGUUCCCUGUCUGGAGGUUUUAUGACGGCAAGGUAGGUGACGGCCCCAACGUCGUCUCCAAGAGCCACCGGCGCCGCCUCUUGAGAGGCAACAUGUUUGGGCCCUACUCGUUCAUCAACGUGCGUGGGGGGCGCGAGAGCAGUGAGGAGCAUAGCCGGAGCCCCAAAAACACCAUCGAGAUCGCCGUCGUCUCGCUGAUAGUGGAGAGACUGUUCCGAGAGUCGUCUUCUUCGGGAACAAGGCUAUCCGUUGGCAUCCUGUCGGCGUACAACGCUCAGGUGAGAGCGUUCCAGGAGAAGCUGGAGAAACCAUACGGUUGCCGCGAUGGUUUCUCUCUCAAGAUAAAGUCGGUGGACGGGUUCCAGGGCGGGGAGGAAGAUGUCAUCAUCAUAUCCACGGUGAGGAGCAACGAGGAUGGCGCCGUCGGGUUCCUCAGGGACGCAAAGCGUACCAAUGUGGCUCUCACCAGGGCCAAGCAUUGCUUGUGGGUGAUUGGCAACGCGACGACUCUGUCGAAGAACAGGUCUGUCUGGCAGGACAUUGUGUAUGAUUCUCAGAGACGACGGCGCUUUUUCCAUGCUAGCAGUGACAAAGGUCUGCUAGACGCAAUACAGGCGGCAACUACUGAGCUUGAUGCCGCCGAUAAUCUGCACAAGAUGGAGUCCUUGCAGUGCGCGGCAUGA